Molecule: ribosomal RNA, 433 nt
Filed under: uncultured bacterium
Lineage: Bacteria
Description: partial 16S ribosomal RNA
Rfam family: Bacterial small subunit ribosomal RNA
Source: RNAcentral
AACGAACGCUGGCGGCAUGCCUAACACAUGCAAGUCGAACGAGACCUUCGGGUCUAGUGGCGCACGGGUGCGUAACGCGUGGGAACCUGCCCUUAGGUUCGGAAUAACUCCCCGAAAGGGGUGCUAAUACCGGAUAAUUUCUUCGGACCAAAGAUUUAUCGCCUUUGGAUGGGCCCGCGUUGGAUUAGCUAGUUGGUAGGGUAAAAGCCUACCAAGGCGACGAUCCAUAGCUGGUCGGAGAGGAUGAUCAGCCACACUGGGACUGAGACACGGCCCAGACUCCUACGCAAGGGAGGAGUGGGGAAUACUGGACAAUCGGCGAUAGCCUGAUACAGCAAUGCCGGGGGAGUGAUGAAGGCCUUAGGGUUGUAAAGCUCUUUUAGCCGGGAUGAUAAUGACAGUACCGGGAGAAGAAGCUCCGGCUAACUCCGUG